Long non-coding RNA from Lolium rigidum, 1142 nucleotides. RefSeq lists it as uncharacterized. The transcript has 4 exons. NCBI's taxonomy places the organism in Eukaryota, Viridiplantae, Streptophyta, Magnoliopsida, Poales, Poaceae. The record is from RefSeq and is a predicted model, not a curated record.
GCGUCCUGUGGCAGGCCGAUGCAUGUCGACCUGCUGCUCCUCCUGCCGGCGACGUUCACAACCACGAUCUGCUGCUGGAGCGCACUCACCAACCUCCUGCUGCCGUUGAGACAGUUACUGCUAGCAGUACAAAGAAGGGUGAUCUGAUACUCGGUGAGAUCCAGUCACAGAUCAAGAACAAAGGAAUCACUAUAGAUGUGAAGGCCAACUCAGCAUCUAAUGUCAUUACUACAAUUACCGCUGAUGCGUAUGCGGCACCAGGGCCGAAGACCAUCUUCCGCUUUGCUGUUCCUGGUCAAAAAUCUGGAAAGGUCUAGCUCCAGUACUUACAUGAUUAUGCUGGUAUUAAUGCAAGCAUUGGUUUGACUGCUAAUCCUGAAAGCAGCCUCUCUGCUGCACUUGGAACUAACGCUCUAGCUGUUGGUGCUGAUGUCUGAAUCAAAACGGAUGACCCAUCUGUCAGCGCUGGUGUGUUUCCUUGUUUCCCUAUCUCGAUGCAGAAACAACAGGCAUCUCAAGUGUUUGCAACCGUAGUUUCCAGCAAACUGAUAGAAGUAGCUAUCUAGCUAAAGUUACUUGAUACAUGUUGCAGUAGUAGAUAGUACAUGAAUAAAGUUGGCGCUCCCUAGUUAUCUACUCGACUAGACUACAUGGUCAGUUCUGAACUAGUAUUUGUUCAUGGUUUAGUUUUCGUCAGGUUCUCUGUUGGCAUCAUAUCCCACUUAUUACUGACGUACACAUAAAUUACCAUGUUUACUUUAUGAUCACUGCUUUACAUGUUGCUAUAUGUUAGUUAAGAAUAUUCUAACAUUAAUUACCAUCUAUUGUUCUUUAUCUCUCACUGAUGUACAUAUUGCUAGCUGUUUAGAACCAUUCAUUGCUAGUGUAAUACUCUAGCGGUAGUAAUACAUCAUUAUCUCUAGCGCUCGUCAUAUAGAAAAGGUAUCUAGCUCGUCCCUCUAGCACUCGUAAAAGAAAUCCUUGUCGUUCUAGUUUGAUUGCCUGCCAUAAUUAAACCAGAUUCUGCAAGUUAUUGUUCUAGUUUGAUUAUCUGCUGCUCAUAUAGUUAUUGAUGUGGUUUGAUGGUUCUGCCAUAAUUACAACUUUUUGUGUUCUGUUAUAGUAAUAUAUCAUUAUCUCCU